UAACUGAAGUGCAGCAUACAAGAGAUUGAC
This 30-nucleotide non-coding RNA is filed under the name Mus musculus (house mouse). Lineage: Eukaryota; Metazoa; Chordata; Mammalia; Rodentia; Muridae. The record is from RNAcentral.